UUACAUGGGGGGAACCUGAUCCAGCAAUGCCUCGUGUGCGAUGAAGGCCUGCGGGUUGUAAAGCACUUUCGGUGGGGAAGAAAAGCUUAAGUAUAAUACACUUAAGAACUGACGUUACCCACAGAAGAAGCACCGGCUAACUCUGUGCCAGCAGCCGCGGUAAUACAGAGGGUGCAAGCGUUAAUCGGAUUUACUGGGCGUAAAGGGCGUGUAGGCGGAUACUUUAGUCGGUUGUGAAAUCCCCGGGCUUAACCUGGGAAUUGCAGUCGAUACUGGGUGUCUAGAGUAUGGUAGAGGAAAGUGGAAUUCUCGGUGUAGUGGUUAUAUACGUAGAUAUCGAGAGGAACAUCGGUGGCGAAGGCGGCUUUCUGGCCCAAUACUGACGUUGAGGCGCGAAAGCGUGGGGAGCAAACAGGAUUAGACACCCUGGUAGUCCACGCUGUAAACGAUGAGAACUAGAUGUUGGCCGGUUUAUCCGGGCAGUAUCGCAGCUAACGCAUUAAGUUCUCCGCCUGGGGAGUACGGUCGCAAGAUUAAAACUCAAAGGAAUUGACGGGGGCCCGCACAAGCGGUGGAACAUGUGGUUUAAUUCGAUGCUACGCGAAGAACCUUACCUACCCUUGAAAUCCCAAGAAUUUUCUAGAGAUAGAAAAGUGCCUUCGGGAACUUGGAGACAGGUGCUGCAUGGCUGUCGUCAGCUCGUGUCGUGAGAUGUUGGGUUAAGUCCCGUAACGAGCGCAACCCUUAUCUUUAGUUGCCAUCAGUUCGGCUGGGAACUCUAAAGAGACUGCCGGCGUUAAGCCGGAGGAAGGCGAGGACGAUGUCAAGUCAUCAUGGCCCUUAUGGGUAGGGCAACACACGUGUGCAAUGGGGAAUACAGAGGGUCGCCAAAUCGCAAGAUGAGCCAAUCUCAGAAAAUUUCUCGUAGUCAGAUGGAGUCUGCACUCGACUUCAUGAAGUGGAUCGCUAGUAUCCGCGAUCAGAUGUCCGCGGUGAAUACGUUCUUCGGCUGUACACACCGCCGUCAAACAUGGGAGUGAUUGUACAGAGGGGUAGCUACCGCAGGGGGCGCUCACCAGUAUCUCCAUGACUGGUUAAGUCCUUACACAGGUGAUCGUA
RNAcentral lists this ribosomal RNA (1119 nucleotides) under uncultured Coxiella sp. Its description in RNAcentral is "bacterial SSU rRNA". It matches the Rfam family "Bacterial small subunit ribosomal RNA", at positions 367 to 1504 of the family's 1533-position model. The record is from RNAcentral. Lineage: Bacteria; Pseudomonadati; Pseudomonadota; Gammaproteobacteria; Legionellales; Coxiellaceae.